RNAcentral lists this ribosomal RNA (909 nucleotides) under uncultured bacterium. RNAcentral describes it as "bacterial SSU rRNA". It matches the Rfam family "Bacterial small subunit ribosomal RNA", at positions 33 to 934 of the family's 1533-position model. The record is from RNAcentral.
ACGCUAGCUACAGGCUUAACACAUGCAAGUCGAGGGGAAACGGCGUUUAGUGCUUGCACUGAAUGGACGUCGACCGGCGCACGGGUGAGUAACGCGUAUCCAACCUUCCCAUAACUAAGGGAUAACCUGCCGAAAGGCAGACAAUACCUUAUGUAAUCCUUUGACGGCAUCAGAUUAGGAUUAAAGAUUUAUCGGUUAUGGAUGGGGAUGCGUCUGAUUAGCUUGUUGGCGGGGUAACAGCCCACCAAGGCAACGAUCAGUAGGGGUUCUGAGAGGAAGGUCCCCCACAUUGGAACUGAGACACGGUCCAAACUCCUACGGGAGGCAGCAGUGAGGAAUAUUGGUCAAUGGGCAAGAGCCUGAACCAGCCAAGUAGCGUGCAGGACGACGGCCCUAUGGGUUGUAAACUGCUUUUGUAUGGGGAUAAAGUCAAUCACGUGUGAUUGUUUGCAGGUACCAUACGAAUAAGGACCGGCUAAUUCCGUGCCAGCAGCCGCGGUAAUACGGAAGGUUCGGGCGUUAUCCGGAUUUAUUGGGUUUAAAGGGAGCGUAGGCCGGAGAUUAAGUGUGUUGUGAAAUGUAGACGCUCAACGUCUGACUUGCAGCGCAUACUGGUUUCCUUGAGUACGCACAACGUUGGCGGAAUUCGUCGUGUAGCGGUGAAAUGCUUAGAUAUGACGAAGAACUCCGAUUGCGAAGGCAGCUGACGGGAGCGCCACUGACGCUUAAGCUCGAAGGUGCGGGUAUCGAACAGGAUUAGAUACCCUGGUAGUCCGCACAGUAAACGAUGGAUGCCCGCUGUUGGUACCUAGUAUCAGCGGCUAAGCGAAAGCAUUAAGCAUCCCACCUGGGGAGUACGCCGGCAACGGUGAAACUCAAAGGAAUUGACGGGGGCCCGCACAAGCGGAG